UUAGUUCUACGCGCGAUCGUAGUAUAUUCGGUUAUUCGCGAGUGUCCUGUGCAACGAGAGGAGGAGGAGGCCUGGGAAAGGCAUUGGGCCCCGGCAGAGCAACUUUGGGAAUCAUCGUAGCGACGUUGCUGAAUAUCUCUGCCGCUGCGCAUCGAUCGGUGAGUGAUGAAUAAACUUUUAAAAUUGGAGUAAUAGAUCUGUGACAAAAUUGUACUUCAUAUAUAAUGUAGAAAUGUUUGCUAUAAUGCUGCAAUAAUAAAUAACAUUUAGAUAUCAUAUUUAUUUCAUGGAUCUAUUGCUUUAAAGUGGAUUGACUAAAACAGAUCAGGAUUUAACAUUUAAUCCUGAAUGAAUGAUAUACAUUAACUUAUCAUGCAUAUUUAAUUUAUUAAAUAAUUUUUUUCGACGCCGUUGCAGUCUCGGCGAGGGUUAGGUAUGUGUUCAACAUCAUCAAAUAUAAAUUACAAGUAUAAUAAAAAAUAUAUAAUGUAUCUUGCACGUAUGCGCACAAUUAGAAACUGCGCGCCGUUUCGUCUCUGAUAAAUUCCGUCAAA
RNAcentral lists this long non-coding RNA (554 nucleotides) under Monomorium pharaonis (pharaoh ant). Its description in RNAcentral is "uncharacterized LOC118648362". The record is from RNAcentral. Lineage: Eukaryota; Metazoa; Arthropoda; Insecta; Hymenoptera; Formicidae.